AAUCAACGCUGGCGGCGUGCCUCAGACAUGCAAGUCGAACGCGAAAUUUCCCUUCGGGGAGAAAGUAGAGUGGCGCACGGGUGAGUAACACGUAGGUAAUUUGCCUUUGGGUGGGGAAUAACUCAGGGAAACUUGAGCUAAUACCGCAUAAUGCAGCGGCUCGACAUCGAGACAGUUGUUAAAGCGGGGGAUUGGAGCAAUCCGACCUCGCGCCUAAAGAGAAGCCUGCGGCAGAUUAGCUAGUUGGUAAGGUAAUGGCUUACCAAGGCGACGAUCUGUAACCGGCCUGAGAGGGCGGUCGGUCACACUGACACUGACAUAG
Molecule: ribosomal RNA, 322 nt
Filed under: uncultured bacterium
Lineage: Bacteria
Description: bacterial SSU rRNA
Rfam family: Bacterial small subunit ribosomal RNA
Source: RNAcentral